UUGAGUGGGGUUCAUUUUCUGUUAGGAUCGUGGGCUCUAUUGGUCACAGCUGACCUUGAUCAUCUCUGAAAGUGUAUCUUAUUACACAAUAUUGCAGUCUUAUAAUAACACCAGGAAGGUUGUUCUGUUUCACAUGAACAUGCUUCAUGAUGGGGUUAGGAAUGUACAACCUGUGAAAAGUGAGGGAGUCUUGAUUAUUAAUCAUAAUAUUAUUAAUAGCCACCUUUUCUUGAUCAUUAGGCACUAUUUGUACAUUAUUUCUCCUUCUCACAUCGACCCAGAAGGUAGGUGUAAGGAAACUGCAUGGCUUCUUGAAUGAAGCCAAACUGCUCUGCAAGAUUGGUGGAAAAGGAGACUCACCAUCUGCUAACAGGCUCCUGGAUCUCAUAGCUGCUCUGUCUUAGCCCUUAAUAUGUUUCUUUUCCCCAUGGAUAGUGGUUCUGAAACCUGAGCUGUCAGAAGAAUCCUUGGCAGAUUCCUAGAUGCCAGCCUCAGACUCAGAAGGUCUGGAGUUGGGGCUGAAAUCUGCGUGGCUAAUGAGCGCUGCAGGUGACUCUGAGGCUGCUGGUCAGUGUCCAGCACUUGGAGAAACUCUACUGAGGGCACCUGCCCCUAAUGUACUGUUGCCACCACUGGGCUGGGGUCAAGAGGCUUUAGUUCCCACACCUGGGCCUCAAAUGGGACCUCUGAGCUUUCCACUAGUUUCCAUUCCAUGAAGGAGUACAAAUUGGAGUAUGUAAAGACAAAAGACAUAUUGUCCAUCAGCUUCCUAUGAUCGAAGAAAAGCUUCCAUUUGUAAUAAACCAACUUCUCUCAUCCAAUUAUCAACAUAGACCAAAAAAAAAAA
Nomascus leucogenys (northern white-cheeked gibbon) is the source of this 847-nucleotide long non-coding RNA. RefSeq lists it as uncharacterized. The transcript is spliced from 2 exons. The record is from RefSeq and is a predicted model, not a curated record. NCBI's taxonomy places the organism in Eukaryota, Metazoa, Chordata, Mammalia, Primates, Hylobatidae.